RNAcentral lists this ribosomal RNA (485 nucleotides) under Meloidogyne graminicola. RNAcentral's name for it is "eukaryotic LSU rRNA". It matches the Rfam family "Eukaryotic large subunit ribosomal RNA", at positions 437 to 885 of the family's 3401-position model. Lineage: Eukaryota; Metazoa; Nematoda; Chromadorea; Rhabditida; Meloidogynidae. The record is from RNAcentral. RNAcentral also lists the same sequence under 1 other name.
GGGGAUUUCUGAGACAGAUUUGUGCCCUACGUUUUGAGGCCAGCUUGCUGGUACCCGAAUGUGGUUAGCAAUUUUUGUUUUAGUUGUAAAAAAAGUAUGGCUUACGGACUUUAUGUGGAUUGAUUUGGUUGUAAGUUACGGUCGCAUGCGACACGUGCUUUUCAAUCUUUUCGGUCUGUGUAAUGUUCUCAUACUUAUUCCCCAUGUAAAAGCCGGUCAUCUAUCCGACCCGUCUUGAAACACGGACCAAGGAGUUUAUCGUGUGCGCAAGUUUUUGGGUGUUUAAAACCUAAAGGCGAAAUGAAAGUAAAUGACUCUUCGAGUCUGAUGUGCGACCUUUUCUUUUUGAAAAGUGCAGCAUGGCCCCAUUCUAACUGUUUACAGUAGGGUGGAGGAAGAGCGUACGCGGUGAGACCCGAAAGAUGGUGAACUAUUCCUGAGCAGGACGAAGCCAGAGGAAACUCUGGUGGAAGUCCGAAGCGGUU